This 749-nucleotide ribosomal RNA is filed under the name uncultured Nitrospira sp. RNAcentral describes it as "bacterial SSU rRNA". It matches the Rfam family "Bacterial small subunit ribosomal RNA", at positions 41 to 785 of the family's 1533-position model. Lineage: Bacteria; Pseudomonadati; Nitrospirota; Nitrospiria; Nitrospirales; Nitrospiraceae. The record is from RNAcentral.
GGCGCGCCUAAUCCAUGCAAGUCGAACGAGAAUGUGUAGCAAUACACAUGUACAGUGGCGAACGGGUGAGGUCUACAUGGGUAACCUACCCUCGAGUGGGGGAUAACCAGCCGAAAGGUUGGCUAAUACCGCGUACGCUUCCGGGACUGCGGUUUCGGAAGGAAAGCGAUACCGUGGGUAUCGCGCUCUUGGAUGGGCUCAUGCCCUAUCAGCUUGUUGGUGAUGUUCCGGCUCACCAAGGCUUCGACGGGUAGCUGGUCUGAGAGGACGAUCAGCCACACUGGCACUGCGACACGGGCCAGACUCCUACGGGAGGCAGCAGUAAGGAAUAUUGCGCAAUGGGCGAAAGCCUGACGCAGCGACGCCGCGUGGGGGAUGAAGGUCUUCGGAUUGUAAACCCUUUCGGGAGGGAAGAUGGAACGGGUAACCGUUCGGACGGUACCUCCAGAAGCAGCCACGGCUAACUUCGUGCCAGCAGCCGCGGUAAUACGAAGGUGGCAAGCGUUGUUCGGAUUCACUGGGCGUACAGGGAGCGUAGGCGGUUGGGUAAGCCCUCCGUGAAAUCUCCGGGCCUAACCCGGAAAGUGCAGAGGGGACUGCUCGGCUUGAGGAUGGGAGAGGAGCGCGGAAUUCCCGGUGUAGCGGUGAAAUGCGUAGAGAUCGGGAGGAAGGCCGGUGGCGAAGGCGGCGCUCUGGAACAUUUCUGACGCUGAGGCUCGAAAGCGUGGGGAGCAAACAGGAUUAGAUAC